Molecule: microRNA precursor, 78 nt
Filed under: Schistosoma haematobium
Lineage: Eukaryota; Metazoa; Platyhelminthes; Trematoda; Strigeidida; Schistosomatidae
Description: mir-3492 microRNA precursor family
Rfam family: mir-3492 microRNA precursor family
Source: Rfam by way of RNAcentral
AGCUUUCUGAAUCCCUGUCGAGAUCUCGUCAAUCACAUACUCAUCAGGACUGAUGAGACUACAGAGAUAAGUGAUAUG